GCCGGAAUAGCUCAGUUGGAGAGCGUUAGACUGAAGUUGUUAACGCUGCAAUCAUCUAAAGGCCCCCGGUUCAAUCCCGGGUUCCGGCA
This 89-nucleotide transfer RNA is filed under the name Dreissena polymorpha. It matches the Rfam family "tRNA". Rfam says of the family: Transfer RNA (tRNA) molecules are approximately 80 nucleotides in length. Their secondary structure includes four short double-helical elements and three loops (D, anti-codon, and T loops). Further hydrogen bonds mediate the characteristic L-shaped molecular structure. tRNAs have two regions of fundamental functional importance: the anti-codon, which is responsible for specific mRNA codon recognition, and the 3' end, to which the tRNAs corresponding amino acid is attached (by aminoacyl-tRNA synthetases). tRNAs cope with the degeneracy of the genetic code in two manners: having more than one tRNA (with a specific anti-codon) for a particular amino acid; and 'wobble' base-pairing, i.e. permitting non-standard base-pairing at the 3rd anti-codon position. Lineage: Eukaryota; Metazoa; Mollusca; Bivalvia; Myida; Dreissenidae. The record is from Rfam by way of RNAcentral.